This is a non-coding RNA of Arachis ipaensis, 208 nucleotides long. The record is from RefSeq and is a predicted model, not a curated record. NCBI's taxonomy places the organism in Eukaryota, Viridiplantae, Streptophyta, Magnoliopsida, Fabales, Fabaceae.
AGUUAUACUUUUCAGGGCAGUGAAGGUGACUGUUUUUAUGUUGUUGGUAGUGGAGAAUUUGAAGUCUUGGCAACUCAGGAAGAAAAAGAUGGGGAAGUAACCAAGGUUUUACAGCAUUACACAUCGGAAAAACUAUCAUGCUUUGGAGAGCUUGCUCUAAUGUACAAUAAACCACUCCAGGCUUCUGUAUGUGCUGUAACUAAGGGGA